UGGCCAUCCAAUUCUGCAAACACCGGUUCUCGUCCAAUCACCAAAGUUAAGCAUCUUCGGGCGAUGUCAAUAAUAGGAAGGGAGAUAACCUGGGAACACUGCGUGCCGUUG
Trichonephila clavata is the source of this 111-nucleotide non-coding RNA. Lineage: Eukaryota; Metazoa; Arthropoda; Arachnida; Araneae; Nephilidae. The record is from the annotation of a GenBank genome assembly.